This 497-nucleotide ribosomal RNA is filed under the name uncultured bacterium. Its description in RNAcentral is "partial 16S ribosomal RNA". It matches the Rfam family "Bacterial small subunit ribosomal RNA", at positions 28 to 507 of the family's 1533-position model. The record is from RNAcentral.
GAUGAACGCUGGCGGCGUGCCUAAUACAUGCAAGUCGUGCGAACGGACGAGAAGCUUGCUUCUCUGAUGUUAGCGGCGGACGGGUGAGUAACACGUGGAUAACCUACCUAUAAGACUGGGAUAACUUCGGGAAACCGGAGCUAAUACCGGAUGAUAUUUUGAACCGCAUGGUUCAAAAGUGAAAGACGGUCUUGCUGUCACUUAUAGAUGGAUCCGCGCUGCAUUAGCUAGUUGGUAAGGUAACGGCUUACCAAGGCAACGAUGCAUAGCCGACCUGAGAGGGUGAUCGGCCACACUGGAACUGAGACACGGUCCAGACUCCUACGGGAGGCAGCAGUAGGGAAUCCUCCGCAAUGGGCGAAAGCCUGACGGAGCAACGCCGCGUGAGUGAUGAAGGUCUUCGGAUCGUAAAACUCUGUUAUUAGGGAAGAACAUAUGUGUAAGUAACUGUGCACAUCUUGACGGUACCUAAUCAGAAAGCCACGGCUAACUACGUG